AUGCAUCUCUACAAGUUGCCGGGCUUGGGGUGGAACCGGUCGGGUCGCAGGGACACUUCUGAGAGCUCCCCAGCGCUCUCGGCCCCGCAGCUGGGGGCUCGGUCUGGCUCCCGGAAGGCGAUCGGAGACUUGACAUCGGCCCGUUCGGGAGUUGGAGGGUUCAUCUGCGAGGGGUCGUUUGCCCUCCGCCCCGAGCCUCACAGCUGGGUUGGCAUAGCCCCACGGGUCUCGGCAUCCCAGCUCCGCCCGGCUGGCUGGUGCGUAACCUCUGCUCUCCGCGCGCCCCGGUGCACCGCUAAAGAGACCAUCCCGCAGCCCAGACGGGAAAAAAAAAAUGUCAGCAUCCAAGGGUUACGCGCAGCACAGCUGGGUUCGCGCGAAGGAGAGGGCGCCCGAGCACUCCCAGUAAUUCAAUUAGUCAGGUUUCUAGAAGGUGGGGCCCGGGAUGGGGAGGGAGUGGGGGUUAGGAGGCGUGGGGAAGGGAGGAGAUUAGGAAAACGCCUCUUUUCUCGUGGAGCAGACCAAUCGGGUUGGAUAGAGGGAAAAAAAAAACCAAAACCCCGAUCGGUAAGCAAACAGCAGGCCGGGGCCAGACUGGCUGCUCCAGCCGCUCCCCACCCCUUCCCAAGUAAACUGCAAGGGGUGGGGGUGGAGGGGGGGGGGGCGAAGAAAAAAAAAAAAUCAGCCCACAUGACCCAGGCGGCGACGGCGCAGGCUGCAGGCGCCUCCCCCUGUCGGGCCGGGCUCCGCGCCGCGGCCCCCGCGCACCCGUCCACGUCCACGCGCGCGGCCCCGAGCUCCCGCGCGGCGGCGGCGGCGGCGGCGGCUGUCGGCUUUACACGCAGGUCAUUAACGAGGGGGCGUGCCCGAGGAGAUUUUUUUUUUUUUUCCCAUAAAGCAUUUUCUCUCUCUCUCUUUUUCCUCCCCUUUCUCUCUUUUGCAAAACUGACUUUUACCCCUUCCCACUCCUCGCCAGUCGUUGCAAUCCCUCCCGGGCUGCUCGUGCUGCCGCUGCUGCACUCAAGUUUAUUUUCCCGCCUGGAGAAGGUCUGGGGAUUCUCUUGGUGGUUUUCACACCUCGCUGCUGCGCCUGAGGAGGGAAAGAGGAGCCGCUGCUGGAGGAACUGGAAGGUUUUCUGA
RNAcentral lists this long non-coding RNA (1140 nucleotides) under Bos grunniens (domestic yak). RNAcentral describes it as "lncRNA (ENSBGRG00000020383.1)". Lineage: Eukaryota; Metazoa; Chordata; Mammalia; Artiodactyla; Bovidae. The record is from RNAcentral.